CCUACGGGUGGCAGCAGUCGAGAAUCAUUCACAAUGGGGGAAACCCUGAUGGUGCGACGCCGCGUGGGGGAAUGAAGGUCUUCGGAUUGUAAACCCCUGUCAUGUGGGAGCAAAUUAAAAAGAUAGUACCACAAUAGGAAGAGACGGCUAACUCUGUGCCAGCAGCCCCGGUAAUACAGCGGUCUCAAGCGUUGUUCGGAAUCACUGGGCGUAAAGCGUGCGUAGGCUGUUUCGUAAGUCGGGUGUGAAAGGCGGGGGCUCAACCCUCGGACGGCACCUGAGACUGGGAGACUAGAGUAUAGGAGGGGGAACCGGAAUGCUCGGUGUAGCAGUGAAAUGCGUAGAUAUCGAGAGGAACACUGGUGGCGAAGGCGGGUUCCUGGACAUUAACUGACGCUGAGGCACGAAGGCCAGGGGAGCGAAAGGGAUUAGAUACCCUUGUAGUC
Molecule: ribosomal RNA, 446 nt
Filed under: uncultured bacterium
Lineage: Bacteria
Description: partial 16S ribosomal RNA
Rfam family: Bacterial small subunit ribosomal RNA
Source: RNAcentral